UACGAAGGGGGCUAGCGUUGCUCGGAAUCACUGGGCGUAAAGCGCACGUAGGCGGAUCUUUAAGUCAGGGGUGAAAUCCUGGAGCUCAACUCCAGAACUGCCUUUGAUACUGGGGAUCUCGAGUCCGGGAGAGGUGAGUGGAACUGCGAGUGUAGAGGUGAAAUUCGUAGAUAUUCGCAAGAACACCAGUGGCGAAGGCACUUUACUGGGCUAUUACUAACACUCAGAGACGAAAGCUAGGGUAGCAAAUGGG
This 253-nucleotide ribosomal RNA is filed under the name uncultured bacterium. RNAcentral's name for it is "partial 16S ribosomal RNA". It matches the Rfam family "Bacterial small subunit ribosomal RNA", at positions 524 to 776 of the family's 1533-position model. The record is from RNAcentral.